UGUCUGCCCAGAAUGAACACUCAGAGUGAAAACCAGGCUUUGCUGAUGGUGCAGAGGGAGGAUCUCAGCUGGGUGCACACAAUGAAUGCCUGAAUUGCAGCCAGCUGAGGGGAAUCUGCAGGUGCCAGGUUCCACCUCUGGGCCUGGCCGCUGCCAUUCCGACAACGCUGCGGGGGCCCGAGCGAUGCGGAGCUCUGUGAGCCGUGCCAAGAAGAACCAGGCACGCCGAGAGCAGAUGCUGCCCACUGCCCAUGGCUUUCAGCGAUGUGAAUGCCAGGAGACACAUUGGACUCCAGCAGCUCUCAGCCUUAGCAUCCACUGGGAGAACAUUCCUGGGGCCAAUGAAAUCACAUAAAUUCAUUGUGGAUGACAUCACCAACCAGAGCACAUUGAUUUGUUCUGCUGUUAGGCUGAUGGAAAGUUUGGAUUUGACAAGUGCUGCUGGACAGCUUCUUAACGAAACCAUUCAGGCUCAGAACAAGGAGUUUAAGACGGGGGUGAGUACCCUGUUGUUCCUGGUUGGAGCAUGGAGCAGUGCUGUGCUGGAGUGCCUCCAGCAGAACGUUCCUGUUCCAGCUAUAGUGUCUGUGAUGUCUGAGGGGUUGGACUCCUGCUGUGAGAGAGUCCAGUGUCUUCAAAUGCCAAUACACCACGUAAACAAAGAGCUGUGUUCUAGCAGAGAUAGGCCAAAGGCUUUUGAAAGCAAAACUGGCCAAGCUGGAUGGGACGGUCUUACAAAUCCUUGGAAUUUGCUGUGUUUUCAGAGAGAUCAUUCUGCAACAGAGGAGGUAAUUCCAAUAAAUUCUUGUUCCCAUCAAGGAGAUGAUUGUAAUUUUAACAAGUUCCUGGUUUCACCCUUGGCUGGCAUUGGUUCAGUGGCUUCUGUUGUCAAGGCAGUGGGUGACAGAAGUUCAUCUGCGCUGUCUGGAAGUGGUGUUACUGCUUCCAGCUGCCUCGCACGGAAGUUAACCCACAGCAGGCACUUCAGCACUCUAGGGAAAAGCCCUUUUGCGAGUCAGCACGGUCACGUUCAGGGACACCUUUCAGGACCAUCAGCAGAUCUGUGUGGAUCUUGUGGUUUAGGACACCUGGCAGUGGCUCUGAGCCACGGAAACCAGACCAGCGUGAAGCUGCUACAAAGCAUUGCUGCUUAUCAGCAAGAGAGAGCAGAGCGCAGUGGCUCUGCCCAGGUUAAUAUCGCAGAGAUUGUGACGUGCUGUGUGCUGGGGCUGCCCGAGAGCUAUUCCUGUGUCUCCCCAGGCUUUGUCACAUUGGUGUCACCGGAGCAAGCCGCAGUCAUCAAACACUUUGCCGACAAACCCCUCCGGGUUCUGCUGGUGGACGGUGACCUCGCGGAAGGGUACCGACACUUAGGUUUUAACAGACCACCUAACGUAAGGACCAUUUUGGAGCGUCCCAAUCCACAGGGAGGCAGGGCAGGAGAUGUGUGGCUAAGCAGAAUGUCGGAUAUUCUGAUGAGCUUUGAAGUAAACCUGGUUUUGGUCAAGGGAAACGUGUGCAAAAACUUCAUGGAAAGGUGCAUCGCCGGCAGGAUAUUGGCAAUUGGCUAUGUGGCUCGGGAUGUGCUGCGUGCCUUCGGGGCAGCCACUGGUGCCCAGGCGGUGACGUACCUGAGCCAGCUGAACGCUUCCUCCGUCGGCAACGGGGCCUGGGCGGAGCUGUGGGAGAGCAGCGAUGGGCGCGCUGUGGAUCUGGCUGAGCUGCUGCCGGCGCGGAUCAGCGCGGGGGGCAUCGCCCUGCUCACGGCCGUGCUCACCACCGCCCUGCCCUCCAAGGCGCAGCUCCUCGAGGACCAGUUCUGGGCUUUGCUCUAUCGACUCCAUCACGCUCUAAAGGACGGGAAGGUUUUCCCUGGGGGCGGUGCAGUGGAGCUCUUGUGCCUCAGUCACAUCCAGGCGCUCGCAGAGCAGCCCGGGCGACCGGGAAGCGACAGAGCUGUGAGAGAACUUCCCAUUCCCUGGCUGGCAGAGUAUAAAUCCAUUGUGCUCCAGGCACUGGCCAGCGGCUGGAAGCGGUACCUCUCCGUGCUCCUGUGUAACACUGCAAAGGCCGGCUCGGAGCUGGAAGCAGCUGCAUCCGUGGAUCAUCACCUCCAGAAAGCAGCGGCUUGUGGCUCUCCCUCAGCUUACAUUUUGGAAGAGUUUAGGAGAGGUGGAUUGCUCAGGAGUGGCUAUGAGCCCUUCCCUGACCAGGUCACAGAUUUAAAGGUUUGUGAUAACGUUGCAGCCAAGACAGAGGCGUGGAGGAGAGCUCUGGACCUGGUGCUGCUGGUGCUUCAAACUGAUGCCGAAAUUAUCACAGGCCCCAGAGGGAAUCAGAUCCUGAACUCACCUGUGUCAAGCGAAUUUAUGUUUUUAUAGGAUUUUGAGGAUUUGUAAGUCCAUGAGUCAAAUUUGUAAGUCCCUGGGAGAAGCCUGGGUGCAAUCUACAUGUCUUUAUAAAGCAAUCAGUGAGAUGUGAUUGUGACUUUAGAAUGUAACAGCAGAAGUCAGAAUGAGAGACAGUCACAAGGCCAACGAAAUGGAACCAUUUAUAAACUAGGUACAUCCUGUAUCCUGGGUUACUUAAAAUUCUGUCUGAUAUGCACAGAAGAUUACCAUGCAAGCUCUCCUUAAGGCAUCCUCUCCUGCAAUUUGGAAUACAGCAUACUGGUGUGGCUCCCUCAGCCUCAGAUCUCCUAAAACUCUCUGCACCAUGGAGUGGAGAUCCUGGGCCUGUGUGCCAUGGCGCUCGGCACAGAAAUGAUUUCAACAUCUGCCACAGGCAAUUCCAGCUCCUGCCAGGCAGAGGCUCCUCCUCUGGACACAAAGGCUGUUUGUGUAGAGCAUGGUGUGAUGGCAGAGCUAAGCUUUCACAUGUGAUGUGCUUGGGAAAUUGGGAAAUGGCUGAGAUUUCUGGAGUUGGCACAUCUUGCUCCCCGCUGGAACCAAGUCCCAGUCAGGUGCCUGGUUUCUCCAUUGCAUCCCAGUAUUGUCAUUCUCAUCUUACUCCACCUUCUGUUUGGGGCUGAUGGCAUUGUAUUUGAUAUUUCUCUCUAUAAAACAAAAUGUUAGGCCUCUGCACAUUGAGGAUUUCCUGAAAUGUAGUAGAGGUCUCCUAAUUCAUAGCAACUCUUGUCCCAAGCUGAGCCAGCCUGGAGGACACAGCCACCUGCAAAUUCUGCCCAGUGAUCAGUGGCUGUCAGGAGGCACCUGAGAGUUUGUCUGCUACCAGGUGUGCUGAAAAUGUGAGCUGGGAAAUGUAGGAGACUGUGUGUGCCUACAGUGCUCCCCAGGCAGGCAAAGCAGCGACUGUGGGAAGGUGAGGAGAAAACUGUUAGACUGUUUGUUUGCACUGAACUCCCUUAGAUACCCUAGACCAGGGCUGAUGGAGAAAUUAGGAGAACGUUUUCCUUUUUUUUAGAAGAGAGAGUUGGAGAGGGCAGUAGAAUCUAGGAGAAAAGUUAUGGAGUGACAAGAGAUUUUUAGCUCUGCUCACAAGGAUGAGGCGACUGGCAUGCCUGAGUCAUCCCAUCAGUCACACUGCCAGCAAAAAAUCAUUCUGAAGAAGGGGAAGAACUGACCUUCUUCCAUGCAAAGCACCUUGGCUUCCCAUAACGAACAUCUACAGGAGCUCAACCAACAUCACCAGGUAUCAAGUGAAUGAAAUGUCUUGUAACUGUUUGGGGUUUUUUUUGUAUCUUUUUGUGUGUAAUCUCUAUAAAACUCCAGUGUAAACUCCCCGUUACAUGAAAAUGCCAAACUCAAAUGCGGCUGAGCUGCUGCUUCAAGGAUGGACUUGCUGUUCUGGAACCAGCUGAAUUGCCAGGACUGCUGUGAACAACAGGCAUUUCUGGAGGUAACAGAGACCCAUUAUAAGCCUGAAGAUUUGUUUUACCCAGUUUUAUCCCUCUCUCUGUAGAUCAGCAAUCCUUUUGAGAUAAUUCCACACCAGCACAGUCACAGCAUAGUUUGUAUGACAUAAUUUGGAAAAAUCAAAAAACUACAAAUUUAACUCCUCCAUCUGCCACCAGCAUCAUUGCAUUAAUUAACCAUUUAUUGCAAAGCUGCAGGACCAAGACCUUUUUUCUAACCAAGCAUGAAUAGAUCCAUGGUCUUAAAGGGCUUUUUCUUUACAGAUAAUGUUGCUCCAAGAACUAAUGUCCACAGGAAUGAUUCCAGCCCAGGUUAGAGAAGAGGGAGAACAGCUCAGGUGCAUGCACAAACCAGAGACUGGGGUUGAUACUGAAUAGUGGGAGGAAAAAAAGAACACACCCCUCUGUGUGUUUUGGCUUCCUACCUGUUUAUUCUCUCAUAAUACCCAUUUCUGUAGAUUUUUGAAAGGCACCCACAGUUGUGCUUCUGCUGAUUUCGAUGCUGGUUUGCUGUGAGUACUGGGAUUCAGCUUGUUGCAUUGCAUCCCUGAAAAUUAUAGGGACAAGGGCAGUUUGGGGCAGAGAUGAAGAAUGGAAGGAGAGAGUAUUCCCCAGUUUCUCCUUCUGCAUCAGGCCCUUCAUGACCCCUGUGGAGUGGCUUCAUGUCACAUGCAAUCAAACCUGGAGUUCCCAGCAGCCAUGUGUUCCCAUGGUGAGACAGCCAUGUGUUCCCAUGGUGUUUGGGAGGAGUCUUUCUCAGAGGCUGGAAGGAAAGGCUGGGCCAUGAUCAUGCACAGAUGGUGAAAGAGCUCAUGAGACAGGAGAGAAACCAAGGGCUGUAUUUGGUUUCCCUGCCUAGCAGAGAUUCAAAACAAAAAACUGUUUAGUUCAAAAGGAAUUCUUUCCUUGGGGAGCAAGUGCUACUCCAAACAAUAGGAUUAUUUUUUCAUUAUUGCAGGAGUAGCAAAGAUAGCAUGCAGUUUUGAUUUAGAAGUAAUGGGAAGAUUUGCCUUGACUGUGUUUUAUUCCAGCUGAAAUCAGUAGAAUGGGGUUUGGUGCUAUUCACAACUGUUGUCCACUGUGUUGUGAGACCAAAUAUUUAACCAGCAUUGCAGAUUUGGAGGGAUGACUAAAAAUAACACAGUUGGUGAACUUACUUAUUUCCAAGGUAUGAUUUGAGUCACUGCUUUCACUGACUACGCUUAAAAACAAAACAAAACCAAACAACAAAAACUUUAUUCGUUAGGACUGGAGAGCCAGAAUCGCCCCACAGGAGCUGUAUAAAAUAAAUUUUAUUUAUAUAUGUACAUAUAUUCACACAUUCUAGAGCAGAGCACUUUCUCAAUCAGCAGCAUUAAUUUACAACAUAGUCAUACAACUCUGAACUGAUUGAACUGAUUCACCUCCUGUUUAUGUCAAAGAAAACCAUCCAAAAACCUCCUUUGUUAGAAUGGCUACCUAUUAUCAGUAAUUGUUUUGGUUUUUUUUCAAAAGAGCCUUGUAGAAAAGGAUCCCUGCAGUAAACUGAAAGAAAUUGUGUCUUGUUUGGGGUAUUAAUUCCUGUAUUCCAUCUGCUGCUCCCUGCAUUUGCAGUUCUACCUGUGAGUCACAGCUCCAAGACACGCCUGUACCAGUUUUAGGGGAAGUGAGCACAAUUCCACAUGGGUAAUUCCACAUCAGUAUGUCUUUGAUUCCCUACACUGAUGAAAAUUAACUGGUACAUCUGCAGCAAUACAGAUAAUAUUGAUUAGAUCAGGUUAAUUAACUGGCAAAGCCCUGCUAAUAUAACAUUAUUCCAGCUCCCUGAGUAUUCCUUGCUCACGGUAAGGGGCAAUCAUUGCUCAGUACCUCUCAGUGCCCUUCAUCUCUUGGUUUAUGUGAGCACUGUUUAAAUAACCCCCCCAACCAUCCCACCCAAAUUCUGGUGCUUUCUGGAGCUGUUCAGCUGGGACAGUGUUGCUCAUGGCUGCCAGAAGCCAGGAAACUCAGAUGUCAGUGGCAGUAAGGGAGCUUUUCUGGAGCUGAAGCCCAAAUCUCUCUUUGUUUAUCUGAAGUACCAGGCAGUUAACUUGAAAAAUGGCCAUUUAUUGUGACCCUGGCUGUGCAAUUAUUCAGGCUUGUAAUUGACAUCUCAAACACAAGAGCAGUGCUGUAAAAAAGCACUGAGAAUUGCCAAAUGUCAGAGCAGUCAUUGCUGUACACAGAAUUACUGUGGCUAAUUUGGGAACUGCUCUCACAUCUCAGCUCCAGUGCUGGAUACUUGGGACUGUUUCCCAGCAGAGCUUGAGGAGGACCUCCAGCUUCCCAGAUUCCUCUCACAGCCAUUCAUAAGGCCCAUAAAACUGUGGAAGAAGAGAGAAGUUUCAAGGCCAGGAGAAGCUGGAGGAAAUCCAGUGUCUCUUGUUUGUUCACAUCUCAUUAUUGAACAGACUUAUUAUUAAAGUGCUGAAGAAAGGCCUUCCAAAAAUACAGGAGCUGAUUUAAAAGAGUUUUGUCUGUGCCACGAGGUCCUGCUUGAAUUAACUGUGUUUGAAUUAACUGUGUUUGCUCACCUUGAAUGGGAAUUCCCAGAUGGUUUUGCUGAUGUGCGUGUGUGACAAGAUGAAAUUUCCCAGAUAUGUUAUUCUCAGGAGACUGGAGGGAAAGGAGAAAUCACACUUGGGUCCUGAAUUAAUACAGGGACCGAUCCCUUUCUCAUUAAAAACAUCAGUGAAGUUUCCGUGGUUUUGGGGAUCAGUCCCUGACAAACUGAAUUUUGCAAAACCAUGAUUGUCCUUCUUCAAAAUUCUGGCAAAGGGUGGCUUUUGGAUAAUUCUUAGUAGGAGGAAAUGCAAAACUGAAGACUGCAAAUGAUGUGGAGUGGAACCUUCAUUAAAAGCCACUCUCUCUCAGAUGAAUGUCUAAUAAGCUCUGGAAGCAAUAACCAUUGGUUAGGGAUGACAUGGAGAAUAUUUCCUUCAGAGAUGCAAUAGGUUGAGCCAUGCUAUCCACAGAAGAAUUUGAUGAGGUUUAGAAGCCCAGCUCAUCCCUAGGUGAAGGGAUGCCUCCUGCAGGGAAUGUCACUCAGGAAGAACAGUCAGCUUUCUAAACAGGCAUAUCCAGGUCUGUCCAUCUGUUUCUUAUCUUAAAACCGCAAACUCUGUAGAGAAGAAACUCUUUACUCUGUCCAUAUGGUAUGUAACAAAAGGAGGCCUUGGAUAAUGAUCAGGAGUCAGAAUUGUUUAGGAAUGAAUGAAUGUUUGAUGUCACCAAAGAUACAGUUUCUUCACCUCAAAAGAAAUUUCCUUGAUUUGCAAAGCUGAUGAAGCUGAUGGAAUUUCUCUAAAAGCCUUCUCACUUGCCAUACACAAUUCUCACAAGUCUGAACUCCAUAGGGAUAAUAUCAGAGUAGCUCUUGGAGAGUAAUAGUAGACUUUGACAAUGAACACAGUAGCUCUAUUUUGGAAUGCAGGGUGAAGAUUAAACCACAGCAGUUAUAAUGUGCCAAGCAGAGCUCUGAGUAGUCCUCCAACACACAGUGCAAACUCAGAGGAGCAGAACGGUUCCUCUACGUCCAAGCUGGCAGGAUGGAAGGAAUGUUGUCUUUUCAAAUGCCUGGGAAAUGAAGUGAGACCACAGUAUUUGUGUGAGGGGUUGGAGUUUCACUAAUUCUUUUUAACAUAUCUUUGAAAUAAUUCCCCAUAAUCUGCCAUUGUUUCCUUUGCAAGCCAUCUCUUUAUUUGUGGCUUUAAUAUUCAUCUCCAGGGUUGAGUGUCUGUUUGUCUUGGUCUGACAAAAGUGUUGGAAGUUGCUCCUUGUCUCAUUUUCUGUAUUGCUGGUGCAGUGCUGGGUCAGGCAGAUUUGUAGCAAUGGUUUUAAUAUUGCAAGCGAAAAAUUGACAGACUUUAUUGCUGCAGGUUAGAGGAAAGUCCUUCCUUCUCCUCUUUGGUUUAGUUGGGGUUGUUUUGGUUGUGGUUUAUUUUUUUAAGUGGAAACUUAAAAUGCUUUUUAGAAUUGUGCUUUCAUCUGUCUGCCUCUUCCUCUGGUCUGUUUGCUUUUGAGUCCCCAAAAUUAGCAAGAGUAAUGUUCUAGUUAGCAGUGCAGUAGGAAAGAAUAACUUGACUUUAUAAAAUAUAAUAAACAGUGUAAGACCUGGAACAAGUACAAAACCUUCAGACAAGGUGAAAACCCCCAGAAGAAUACCUCCAUUCAAAAUGUCUGGGGAUGUCUGCAAAUACUGCCAGCAGCUUAAGUCUUGUCCUUUUCCUUUCCAAACAUGUGUAUUAGGUUUUCCUUUAAAAAUACAUACUGUAUCCCUGAACUCUUCCACGCUCCCAGUCAAAGAACUAUUUCCUUUAGACCAGUUGAUUCAUACCCAAAAUAAAAGCUGUGAGACAUUAUUUUGGUCUUGCUUGUUUCCCUCUUGUGAUAUUGAUGGAAAACAUUCUCUUUGAAAUAUUCAAGCUGUAAAGCCACCAAUCAUCUCUAGCUAUUGAGGGUUACCUGGCUCGACAUCUCAGGAAUUCCACAGGGCUCAAAUUCAGUUCUACCUGACCUGAUCCAGCUGUGUUUAAAAUGUCCCUUAUCCUCUGGGGCCUGUCUGUGCUGUACAGCAAAUCUUACAAUGGACAAAUAAAGUGCAGUGUACAGAUUCGUGUUUUUGUUUGGAAUGGAGCUAACUGUGAUCUUCCCUCCUCUUGGUAUUUUUACAACAAAAUACUUGCUUUGCAGACAGGGCAAAAAGGUUUUGUUUUGUGUAGGAAGCUCAGCUACAGGCUUAUCUUUCUGUAAUGCCUGUAGGUUAAUUCAGUGAAGAUAAAGCCCUUGCAUCACACAAUCUGUUCUGUACCUGGGUUUCUAAAUGCACAUGGAUGACUUAGAAUAGUAUGCCUAACAGAUCAGGGUAAUUUGUUCCUUAAAUAUGAGCUUUGUCAUUUUGGGGUCAAAUAUGAUGGAGUGAGAGACUGUCUGUUGUUUAAUGUGUCAUCUGUUCCACCUGGGUGACACCCAUCUGUUUGAGUGUCCCAAGCAGAGGCUAAUUUUGUAGCUGUGCUGUUGCCAGCAGCCUGAGAAGGAUUCCUUGUGGCAUUUAUUUACUUCUUUUUAUUUGCCUUAAAAUCGCUGCUGAUUACGGCCUGACUUUCUCUUUGUGGUCAGAUGAGAACAGCAGUGAAAAUUCCACUGAAAUUUAACUUACUGGGAAGGAGCCACAAGUGGUCUAGGAUUUAUUCUUGGAUUGUUUUGCUGUGUCACCAUCUUUUAUUAGCUGGUAAUUUCCUGUUCAUCAAUGACAGAGCAGUCAAACAGCACAUCCUCUGCAGUGGAGGUUGUCCCUGCGUGAGUAGCUUUUUGUAUUUACAGUCUAGGCAAGAGAGAAUUCUUCAUAGGGGUAAAAAAUGUGCGUGGAAGGAAGGGAUUAAUAUUAAGAUGAUGGCCUCAUCAUCUGAUUUGGCCUCUUAAAUCCUUCUGGAGGUGCCAGCUCUAGAAAUUCUCCCAGUUAAUUUUCUUACAAUCCCCUCUGUAUUCUGCUUCUAACAAAGUCCUGUGAGAAUGACUGUAACAGAUGAGAAAAUUAACUGAGAUUUGAAUCACAUUUGAAAUUGGCAGGAAAGUGAGGGGCUUAAAGCCAAGCUCCACAACAUCCUCAAAUACGGAAUAUUUGGUAUCAAGAGCCCAGUGUUUGCUUCUGAGAACUAGGGCUGCUUGUGAUUUGCUGCAAUCAAUCAGGACUUAGCAGUCCCAUCAAAGAAAUGUCACUGGGAAUGAAGGGCACGAAGGGAGAGCUUCCCUGGGGCAUAGCAGCAGCUGUGGCUGGGACCCCCUUCCUGCUGUUAUCUGGAGUCUGGAAAACCUGCCUGGAGAAUAUCACAAAUCCAUUUUUUGUUGCUGUUUGCUUUGGGUUUUUUUCAUGAGUUGAUUAGCAGAGGUUGGCUGCAGUUGAUAAUAGGGAUACCUGUGAGAACUGUGUGACCUGCUCAGACAUAAUUCUGAGGGCAUUAAUUACAUAUUGCUGAAAUUUCAAACCAUAAUUGGAGAUCAGUGUUAUGUUGCAGCCUUUGCAGUAAUCUGAAGCAGCUCUGUUCCACAAGAAAUUUUGGAGACAAGUUACCACCUGAAGCCUAAAACUGUUCCAUUGUCAUUAUUGCUCUUAGUUUUCAUUUUUAAAUCUUGCAAUUAGUGUUCUUAAAAAAAUAAUAAAUAAAGCAAAAGGCAAAUACAAACCAUCUGUGAAACAGAAAGAAAUUGUUAAAAGCUGCAUCCACAAGGAUCCCUGGGAAGAGUGCCACAACACAAGCAUUCAGCCAGCAUGAUAUAAUUACAAAUUGAACAUCUCUAAAACAAAUUCCACAUUGAAAAUAAAAAUGAAUUCUGCUUCUUUCUUUGUGGUAGAGGAUGAUAUUAAUCUCAGUUCUAGAAAUUACCACCUAUCCUCCUGCAAACUGCAAGGUCUGGGGAGUCUGCAUGCCCUCCACAGGUGGGGUUUUUUGGAGGGAGCACCUCAUGGGGCAUUGCUCAAAUCCAUGUUUCACUCAAGAGACUGAGUUCAGGAGGAUUCAGAGCAAGUGUGGAGCUUGCUAUGUUUUUUAGAGCUCUGACAUAAUGGCAGGUAAUGACAUUCUGUGUUCAUGGCAUAUAGAAACGUGCCUCUUGUUCCAGGAGAUGGCUUAUUCAGCUCAUAGCAACUGGAUUCAUUGAAAUAAAGGGCCAUUUUAUGUUGAGACAUAAUCAUUUUACACUUAACUAGGACACACUCUCCAAUAUGUUCUUAUUUCUUGCUUUUAUCUAAAGGAACAUUUUUCUGGCUUUAGUCAGACUGGA
Passer montanus (Eurasian tree sparrow) is the source of this 10672-nucleotide RNA transcript. It is a transcript of the gene named Bardet-Biedl syndrome 12, with no coding region annotated. The record is from RefSeq and is a predicted model, not a curated record. Lineage: Eukaryota; Metazoa; Chordata; Aves; Passeriformes; Passeridae. The transcript is spliced from 4 exons.